This 254-nucleotide ribosomal RNA is filed under the name uncultured bacterium. RNAcentral describes it as "partial 16S ribosomal RNA". It matches the Rfam family "Bacterial small subunit ribosomal RNA", at positions 524 to 776 of the family's 1533-position model. The record is from RNAcentral.
UACGUAGGGGCCUAGCGUUGUCCGGAUUUAUUGGGCGUAAAGAGCUCGUAGGCGGUUUGGUGAGUCGGGUGUGAAAUCUCCACGCUCAGCGUGGAGGGGCCACCCGAUACUGCCAUGACUAGAGUCCGGUAGGGGAGUGUGGAAUUCCCGGUGUAGCGGUGAAAUGCGCAGAUAUCAGGAGGAACACCAAUGGCGAAGGCAGCUCGCUGGGACGUGACUGACGCUGAGACGCGAAAGCGUGGGGAGCAAACAGG